This is a non-coding RNA of Sus scrofa (pig), 297 nucleotides long. The record is from RefSeq and is a predicted model, not a curated record. Lineage: Eukaryota; Metazoa; Chordata; Mammalia; Artiodactyla; Suidae.
UAGUGCCCUGAGUGCACAGGAGAGCUAUGGGCUGAUGGUCAGUGAUCAUGGCAGUAGUGGUCCACUCCAGCAGUCCACUAUAGCCUUCGCAGGGCUCAUCAACCAUACUGGGUAACCUUGCUACUCCUGAGUGGUAACUGGAUCCUGCUAUGGAAUAAAAUACCUUGCUUUUGAUGAUUAGGAAAAGAAUCAAAAGAAUCCACUGUAUCAUCUUUUUUCAAGAGGAAAAUGCAGCAAGAACAUCCUCAGCAAUGCUCGUUUCUGCCUUUACUAAUAAACCUACUGAUUAAAGUUUGA